Molecule: non-coding RNA, 311 nt
Organism: Paramuricea clavata
Lineage: Eukaryota; Metazoa; Cnidaria; Anthozoa; Malacalcyonacea; Plexauridae
Source: the annotation of a GenBank genome assembly
AUGUAACUCAGUUUGAAUUCGGGAUCCGUCUAUCACGAGAACUUUCUUAGACAAUAAAUCGCAAAUACUUACGUAAUACCUUCGUAUUCGUGUCUGACACAGAUUGGCGCUAGUUGGAGCGAAGUAUUUACGUACUCUCUCGGACUAAAUCAUCCUUGAUCUGGUACUACCAUGCGCCGUCGUUCUAUUAUUCAUACCAUGUUAUCUAUUAUACUUAUUAAUCAAGACAUGCAGUUCCCAACAAUCGACUAAUUUAGCCAAACUUGCAUGUAACCGACGGGGGGGGGGGAUUUUGUACGUUCUUUGCAUGG